This 14758-nucleotide long non-coding RNA is filed under the name Homo sapiens (human). RNAcentral's name for it is "HSALNT0047136". The record is from RNAcentral. Lineage: Eukaryota; Metazoa; Chordata; Mammalia; Primates; Hominidae.
CUUAGGACUAUAAGCUGAAGUAGAACUAGAAAGUCCAGCCAUACCUAAGUCCAAGCUAGCCACUCUGGUCCUUUUCUCUGUUGUAUUCCAUUAAAGACCCUGAUAUCUGGGACUAGAGUUCCUGAGCACUCUAUACCCAUGACCUGGUCUGGAAGCAGCUCUUCUUAGCUGUCCUAUCAUGCCACAGUAACUCCGGGUCUCUGAGACAAGUGUCCUGAAACUCUUGAGUUCUCACAUGCCCUUUCAUCUUUCCCUCUUUUUUGAUCAAUCCAACCAAUUCAUGGCUUCCUGUUGAAUGUUAUUUUAUAAUAAUAUGGUUUAUGUUAUUAACACUCUUUAAUGUUAUUCAAGCCCAUCUUCUAUCAUGUCAUUGCUUAAAAAGCCUCAACAGUUCCUUAGGGUCAAGCCCACUGUGUGUGAGCUUCUUAACUGGGCAUUUAGAAUCCUCUCCAAUAUCCUCCACUACCUAUGAUUUAUAUUUUAGCCAAAAUGGACCCUUUAUAAUCUUGAACUUCAUUGCAUGUCUGCACUUCUAUACCAGUGCUGAAUCCCAAACUGAAAUCUGGUUCAUAUUUCAUGAAACAGCUGGUUUUUACACCCACAUCUUGAAAUCUCUUUCUAUUCCCUCACCUAGAUACAAACUCUUCAAGGGGCCAGUAGAGUAUAGUGGCUAAAAUCUUGGAUUCUAAAACCCAGCUGUCAAGGUUCAAAUCCCAGCCACACCAUGUGCUGACUGUGAGAUCAUAUACAAGUCUCUUUUCACUUCACAUCUGUUUCCUUAUCUGGAAAAUCAAGAAUAUUAAUCAGAUAUUAAAUGAGAUAAUAUACAUUUAAUCUAGUCCGUGGAACCCUGUAAGCAUGCAGCAACUGCGAGCUAUUAUGGCAGAUGCUGUUGCUAGCCCACCCACAUCCUCUUGGUAUUUGUCUCUACAUUCUCAACCUGUUUAUAGAAAACAUUCGUGACUCUCUGUAGUCAAGAUAGCAUGCUCAGCUCUCAUACAGGGCAGAGCAGAAGUUUCUGAGAUGUAAUCAGUCUCCCAAGAAGCGACACUCAGACAAUGACCAAUGGAGAGUCAGUGGAUGAAUACCCCUUGUUAGGAAUAACUCUGAACCCUAUUCUAGAGUGUGGACAGCAUAGAAUCUCUUAUUGUCUCCCAGACUUCCCCAGCAGGCUGUAACAUCAGUUGCCCGCAAUGGUAAUUGGCUUGGCAGAUACCUUCUGUCAGCUCCUUUGCCUUCCCUAACUUACUCUCCACUCUCUUUUAUGUAUUUCCUGGGAUCGUUUCCCAAAACUACUUGGAUUCUUGUCUCCGGGUUGGCUUCUGGAGGACUCUAAAACCAUAACUGCUCUUAUCACUACAGCUGACUUCUUUGAAACCAUGAAAAUACUGCUUUAUUUGCAUUCGUCUUCUGCUAGUUAGAGUCUACCUUCAUAAAACCUAAAAUCCAACAAAAAAUUAAGACCAAAAUACAAAUAUUUCUCACAGUACCUCUCACAUAGAAGUUACUCAAUCUGUAUUUAGAGAGCAAAGAAUAAUGGGAGAUCAAAAGAUUACUCUGUGACUAUAAAAAUAGAGCGAGGACUAUUGAUUGGUUACUAAGAAUAUUUUACAAACUUUUAUGGUUUGACACACCCUUUUAAUGGUGGUAUGUCUACCUAAUAUAUCUGCACCUUCCCAAAAUCCCCUCCCCUCGAUGUCAGCAUCAGGACUCCCCUCCUCCUCUAGCUAGAUUUGAGAGACACUUGCCAUUAUCUCAUCAUUAUUUUAUCAUGUUAAUGUACUUGUGUAACCUUUUAUAUUUUCUAAAUAUGAAAAAUAUUUUACAGAGAUUACAUUUGACGCAGCUGCUUCCUGAAGACCUAGAGAUCACUUUAAUCUUACAAGCACAUUCUUCAGAUUGUCGUGUGGGUGGGUAACUUCCGCCAGACUUUUCUGGAGAUGGCUAAUCCAGCCGUGGGAUGUGGUUUCUUCUAACAGCCAGUCAGGAAAAUCUUGCUUCUCAAACUCCUGUCUUGACCCCUUCCUGAACUUUGCCUCCUGGAUCUUGAGGUCUGCCUUCUGUGGAAGAGAAAUACUAGAAUCAAUGAACUGUGAACUAGAGCCCUGGGAUUAUCAACAGCUGAAAUUUUGAGAGCCACCUUAUAGAAAGCCUAACAGCAAAGACUGGAGAGAGGCUUCCAGCCAACAGCCAGCAAGGAAUUGAAGCCCUCAGUCCAAUAGCAGUGAGGAAUUGAAUCCUGCCAACAGCCUCGUGGACCGACUGCUUCAUGCUGGGCUUCAGACAUGAGAGGCUAGGAGUAGGAGGCAUGCCUUGUUCAAAGUAACUCCUCCAGGGGACAGCAGCAUCUCUUCUGACUCUUUGCUUCCAUGUCUUGAGGAAGCAGCCUCCUGCCUAUGGCCAUCUGAGGAAGCCAUCUUGGAAGCAGACCCCUCAGCCCCAGUCAAGCCUUCAGAUGACUGAAGUCUCAGCUGACAUCUUGACUUUAAUUUAAAAAAAAAAAAAAAAAAAAAAAAACAAACAAACAAACAAAAAAAAACUCCAAGCCAGAACUACCCCCAACUGGAAUUUGAGAGCUGCUUUCAAAUCCUGACCCAUAGAAACUUAGAUAAUAAAUGUUUGUUGUUUUAAGCCACUCAUUUUUAGAGAAAUUUGUUAUGCAGCAAUAGCUAGCUAAUACAGAGAAUUAACCAGCCUCUCUUAAAUUACCACCACAAAAUCAACUACCUAUUUUAUUAAAAGGUAAAACCAGCUGCUGAAGAACGUUUUUCCUCUCAAGGCUUUGGCACUUAAGAUUCAACAGUAAGAAGGAUUGAAGAGUGAAGGCUUCCUGGCUACCCCGUGGCAUCCUGUGUUUGGUUUGAAGCGUGAUAAGCCUGGGUUGCUCUUCCAGUCCACCUUGUAAGAGACUGAUGUGGAAAAAUGUGUCUCUUCUCAAGGGCUAACUCUGGAAGCUUGGGAAAAUAUUCUAGAUUUGGAUCACAUUAAAAUGGGUAUUAGACCUAGGUUCUAGUUCCAUCUCUAAGAUCUGGAUAUGUCAAAAUCCUUUUCCCUUUGUAGGUUUUAAGUUUGGCCUCUUUAAAUAAAGAAACAAUCACCCAUGCUUUGUCUUUUAACUUGCUACUUAAAACAAGGAGCUGAAGACACUGGCCAUCAUCAAAUAACUAAUGGACAAUUCCCACUGCCUCGCUGAAAUUUGCAGUCUGACUCUCAUCAUCUCUUGCCUUUUUUUUUUUGCUUUGGCUGUGUUUGUGAAACUGCCUUUGCAAAGAUUAUGAGAGGGAGUCUAGCAUGGCCAACUCCAUCUUGCUUCUAGCCUCAUGGGCUGGCUUCCCUUGCUCAUUCCUAGCCAUAGGCCAAGCUAACCAUGGGAGGAAUUUAGUUUAUAGUUUAACUUUGAAGCAAAGAUGAUACUAUUUUAUCCCUAAAACAGAUCCCUUCCUUGUUCGGGUUCUGAAACCACCUUUGUAAGACUAAUGAAAAGCCACAAGAUUAGGAUUAUGGAAAGGGCCUGAAUCCUGCUCAAAUGGAGGCAUCAUUUCUAUACUUCCUUACUGCUCAGGAGUUAUGUGGCCAAAUGGCACAGAGUUGUGACUUCCUCAAUUGCUCCUGUGGAUAACAUCACUAUUGUAGAACCUAAGGCUGGUCUUUUGAGCUGUUUUUCAGAUUUUUGCAUUCUGGCAACUGAGUGAUGCCUCCCAGACUCAUGACUCAACCAGUCCUAUGGCCUCCACCCAGAGGUGGACUCAGCACAUGAGGACUGUUUUCCUCGCACUUCUGUGAUCUCAUCCCUAACCAAUCAGUAGCACUCAUUCCCUAGCUCCCUGCCCACCAAAUUUUCCAUAAAAAGCCUAGCCUCUGAGCUCUUGGGGAGAUUGACUUGAGUGAUAAACUCCAGUUCUUCUCUAUGGCCAGUCUUGUAUUAAUUAAACUCUUUCUUUACUGCAAUACCAUGGUCUCAGUGAAUGGUUUGAUCUGUGCAGCAUGCAGGAAAAACUCAUCAAUCAAUUACAUUUGUCACUAAGUCCUCUCAGCUGGAGACUCAUCAAUGAUAUUAAAUUUUAAAAAACUACCAAGCGAAUACAAUUCAAGUGGAAGCUCACCUGUGGAGCAAUGGGAACACACUGUUAUUCAACAGGGCUGAAGUCUGAAUCAGAUGCCCGGAGGAGAUACGUUGUCUUGGCUUUGCCACUCACUGGCUAUGUGAUCUUGGAUAAGUCACCUCACUCCUCUUGAUCUCAGCUCCCUCUUCUUUAAGAAAAAAAAUAAAGUAGUGAUAAUUUUAAUAGUCAACAUUUACUGACUGUAAUCUAAAAAUGGGGUUAAGUAAAUUGCAUGCAUUACCUUUAACACAACUGUGACAUAGGAAUUAUUGUAACAUAAACAGCCUCAUAAAAUCUGUAUUUUACAGAUAAGGAAACUAAGUUUCAGAGAUAAUAAGUGGUGGAGCCGGAUUCAAACCCAAGUUCUUAACCACCAAGAUCAUAGCAAUUAUAAAUCAGUUUCAGCUUGAAUUUGAACUCUCUGGAUGCUAGGAUUCAGAAGAGAUGUGACAUCUGUGAAGAACUGAUGGUGUCAGUCUGCCAGGCAUUUAGUUAUAUGAGGAACCCAGAGUGAGGUUAGCAUCAGGGAGUCACUGGUUCUAGAGCAGAGGGAAGAUUCUAUUUACUUUUGAUGUUGGUCACUACAAAGUUAUGGUGCCAGCAAGAGAGCAAAGUAAAAACAAAAAGGCCUGGGAUAUUAGUAUGCAGGUCAUCUGGAGAAUUGGUGCCAGCAUCUUCUGUAGUAAUUGAUGAGGAUGCCCCAUCAUUGACAUCAACGACGUUGACAGUGGACACUGGCAGGAAUUGAAUGCCUUGAGCAGACACCAGUCACAGUGUCGGCAGUGGCUGGGAGUCAUUACCCCCAAUGUGCCACGGCCGGAGGGGAUAAAUGCAGCAGAUGUCACAUGGCAGCCCAGAGGAGCAGUUUGCAGAGCACAUGUGAGAAACCCUCUGAGGAUACCCAGGAGACACCACGGGAGACAGAAACCCAGGACUGUACUUGAAUGAAAUUCGAGAGAGAGCUUACAUUUCUAUAGAACAGAAGUGUAUCUUCCUGAAGAAAUUUUGUGUUUGCUCUUGAGAUCCUAUUUUUACCCUCAGACUUGGGUGGUCUGAAAAAUGUAGGUUACUGAUGAGAUGGAAGGGUGCGACUCCACAGUGCUCUGCAAGGGUCUUUCACUUUGCCUCAUGAUUCCCAGAAUUACAGCAUUUCAAACUCCAUUGACAGAAACACCAGGGCUGGCAAAUGCAGUGCAGAUCCAUUGGUCUUAAAUGUGGGAAAUAGUCUACAGUUUGGAAGACACCAGAGAAAAAUGCUCCACAGCUCGCCCUGGUGACUCACUACAACUUAUGGGAAGAUGUGAGAUUAUUCUGUAUUCUAAUGUAUGUUAGAAGGCACACUCCACCCAAAGCCUUCCUGUGUGUUCCUCCCUGUGAGCUCACAUCCCGUUCACCAGCUGACUGGGAAGGGAAGUCAGGACCAGCCCUGACCCCAUCACACCAUCAUAACCUCGGGAUGGCAGGGCUGGAAGGCACCUCAGACGUCAUCCUUUGCAGACUCUUCAUUUUACAGUGAGAGGCAUGACGUGUCCACAGCUGGUUAGUGCCAAAGCCUGGGACAGGCUUCACAUUGUCCAGCUCUUAGUCAGAGCACUGUUGACAAUGUCUGCCUUCACUUGGAAUUCAGCACCUGCUUUCAGUAUAAACCCCUGCAUUUCACUAAAACUGAGCAGACUGCUGGUUUAAAAAAGAGAGGUCCAUCCAGCAGGGAUGAUGCUUUUCCUCGUUGAAAGAGGACAUUCACCUAAUGGGAGACCUGGAGUCAGAAUCUUUCUGAUGUGUGACUUGGCACAGUAACACAAUGCAGGAUGCUGGUGUGUUAAUAAAAAUAAAAAUUGCAUCGCCUACCUCAGAGUCGACAACAAUGUCAAGGAGUUAAUAGUCUUGGCAACACAGAGGCCACUGGACAGAGGCAUAACCUUGCGUGGCAGCUGCACGGGAAUUGGAUUUGGCUCAGGUGUUUCAGAUGACUAAGAACAAAGGGGACCACUCUUGGUAUAGAAGUUCAUCUCGUCGGGAGCAUCUGUGGUUCUUUUAUAAGCAAUGUACAUUCUACAAUAGAGGCAGACCCAGAAAUAAUUCAGAUAUUGGAGUUAGAAGAUCAGGAUUCUAAAAAAACCAAAAGAUCCUGCCUUACUAUGCACCUAUGGCCCUUCAAAGGCGAGAGUAGAAUCUGCUAUGAUUUAGAAGCAAGCAAUAAAAAGUACACAUCAGGUGAGUGGAUGCUAGCUAAGACCUUGGGCUUUGGGGUCAGACAGGCCUGGGUUUAAAUCCUGGCCCUGUCAUUCUGGGGAAACAUGUUUCUGCUUUCUCCUAUAUGAAAUAGAGGCAGUGGGUAUCCUGAACAUGUCACCUUUACUUGUCCAGCUUGUCAGUUAGGGUUUGGUUAGGGAAACAGAGCUGCUGUAAACAUUAUGGGAAUAAGGGAUUUUAUUCAGAAUUGGAGCCUGCACAGAUGUAGAAGGAGGCAUGAAGAGGGUAUUGGAGGAUUGCCCACUAUGCAGUCUGCAUCCUGAGUCUGUGGUGAGGCUGGACACGUUCAAGCUUACAGGAGAACUGGAGAAAGCAAGCAACACAGCGGUGGAAGUGAGACCACUGAAGCAGGGACAAGAGUGGAGGAGACAAACUGGACUCGGAACAAACUGGGAGCCUCUGCAUCCAUCCGUAACUGUCUGGCCGUGACAGUGGUUAGAGAGGAGUGGCUUCUGUGAAACUCUCACAAUCUCAAAUCUCCCACAAGUGCCUCUUUCAGCUAACUCUAAACUGGUACCAUAGAGGAAAUGGAUUCUGAAAACUUGGUCUCCAACCUUAGACAAAUUGAAUAAUUAAUAUGUCCUCUCCUGCUUCUUCUGUAACUGAAUUUGCAUUGGGAAGCAGGCCUGUCACUCUCAGACUUUGUGGUUUGAGUAGGGCUCACUUCAGCACCACCUUUUCCUCUUCUCAGCCCCACGGACUGGCAUGAGACUCAGGCCUGGCCAACUGAAUGUCACACACCUAUGACCAUCAGUUGGCUCAGAGAUGGACUCAGGACACCAUCACAGCCAAUGAAACCCUGUUAGGGAAAUUUGUCAGAACCAUACAAAGAAAUAGCUCCACUUUUCCAUAGAGAUGAGACAUAAGCCUGGACUAACUGGUGUCCAAUUUGCCAUCAAGAGAGCAUCUGAGAAGACAGAGGAAAACUGGGGAAAGCGAAGUCUAAGGAAGGUGAGUAAGGACAAGUCCAGUUGAUAUUACAUGAAUCACCUGGACCUGGAAAUCAAGGCAUUGCUGGAUUCAAGGCCAAGAAAAAUUGGAAGCUGGCUUGAAUCAGGUUCUAUCACUUGCAGUUGAAAAGGUCCAGACUAAUAUGAUAACAAAGGAGCAAGUAAGCAAGAUUCUGCCCUACAGUAAGUGCUCAAUGCAUGUCAGCUGGUAUUAUUAUUAUACAGACUUCUAUUUCUAGCCCUUUUAUUUCUACCACCUCUCUUCUGUGUUUUAUGUAAAGUGCAUAAGGAUUGUUCUGUUUGGAAACAUCAAACCAUAUAAAAUGACACCAGCAGGUCCCUUUCUGUCUGUCAGUGUCCACAAGCUCAACAACCAGGAUCAGCAGACAAAAACAGCUAAGCUGGAGUCAGUGUUUUUAUGAAGAAACAGGAAAAGAACUUACUUGGGAACUGUAGCUCAUCCUCCAAUAUUCUCCAUCCUAUCACUCUUUUCAUGACAGUUUCUUCUUGGCCCUGAAGUUGCCUUGUCAUGGCUCCCUGCCUCUGUCCUUUCUCUGUCUCACUUACAUCUUCCAAUGAGGAAUACAGCAAGACCUUUGGAUGAGGACCUCCAAAGGUCCUCAGUAUCCUUAGGACACUCGGUGCAGAACUAGAGGGACUGAGAGGAGGAGCUUUUGCAGGUUAAAUGACUAGUGAAUGGCCUUUCCUUAUAUUUCCAUUAGAAAUGGGAUUAGCUACACCUGAGAAGGAAUGACUUUGGAACAACUGAUCCCUAGCUUUCCAAAAUAUGAGAAAUUGAGAUGCAGGGAGUAGUAAGCACCUAGUUAAUGAGUCAAAGCAUAUUUAUAAAGUUCACAGGGUACAUAGCAUAUAGCAGCUGUUCUCUAUCUCAGUUGAGUUUUGACUAGGAAAUGGGCUUAGGAUAAAACACAUAGGCUUUUGAGUAAUCAUUUGUAAGAAAUUGUAGAUAGUGACCACAGUUUAAUAGCAUUAGAUAAAUUAUGAAAAGUCACUGAAAUACCUUCUCUGGAAAAUGUUAGAAGCUCAAGUACAAUGGCUUAGUUAAAGGCAGGUGGGGGAGAAACUUGAAGAAUGUGGUCCAGUACAAGAAUACCCCAUUUUUCCCCUAAGGCAAUGAAAAUGACAUGAAGUAAUCAUAGUUAUUUAUACAGGAACAAUUUAGGAGACUUAGAAUAUUCACUUCUUUUGCCUUCUAGCUGAGCAUCAAAAUUCUCUCUCUGUCUCUGCCUCUCUCUCUCUAUUUUCCACUUCUAGCUCCAACUAUUUUAAAUCCCUCCCCCAAUAGAACUCAUAACAAACAUAAAACAACAUUUGUUGUAUGUUUACAAUAGAUGUUCAAGCUAAUAUUUAUGUAGGCUUAGCCCUGGCAUUAAAUUAAGGUUUGGUUCACCAACAGGGUGCCUAGAGACUUCACCUCUAUUUCCAUGAGGGACUGAACAGCCUCUUGAGAAGGGACUCAUCAAAAUGGAAGAGUUGGCAAUAAGAAGUUUGGCUAAAUAACCAAGCACUGAAGUUGCAGAGGAGAAAGGAUUUGAAAGGCAGUACAGUGUCCAGGGGCAAGUUGGCAAUUUUUAGCAGGAGGUGAAGUGAUGCCAGCAGAGGUAACAGUGCUCAGAGGGACCAGUAGUCCCCAGGAGGAGCAGGGGAAUCCCCAGUGGAUCUGAUUUGUUCAAGAGCACAUGUGAGAUUAUCAGCUGGCGUUACAAUUUUGGAGUGGCAGUGAGAAGCAGUGAAUUUGAGGUCACUCAAUUUGCAGACCCCAAAGGGUGAAAUGUUGAGAAACAUGAGUUACACAUGUAUUUAACAGCUCUUGUGUAUUAUCACAAAUCCUAUUUCACCUCUCAUGCCCCCGAGGCUUUGGUGUCCAGUUCUCUGAAGACUUCAUCAAUCCUCAGCCAUAAAUCACCUGAGAGCAACUCACCUUGCUUCAUACUAUGAAGCUCCCUGAUGUCACAGCAUGGCAGGCCUGUGGCAACCCCUCAACACUUAUGCAUGAUCCCAAACAGCUAGAGGAUUAACACCUACGGUGUAACCCUUGACCAGCAGGAAAUGGAAAUUACUGUCUUUUUGUCCCCGCAGGUGAAUGGUUCUAAAAUGCAUUUUAUAAGCCUUCUGAAAUAGUCCCACAGGUCAAGCACCUACUUGCUCCAGUGGUGACCAACUCAAUGAUGCAUCCUUGGGUUGACUCUCCCUCCUUUCCAGUUCACUUUCCCCGCCCCUCACUCCUGCACCUCAGCAUCACAUUCCUGAAUAAACCACUCACACAUCUGUCUUAUUUCAGACUCUGUUUGGGGGAAUCCACAAUAAAAAUUUGUCAUUUUGAGUUAAACAUUGCUCUCACCUUGAAGACAUAUUUCCAUACCUAGAGAUUUCUGAAGUUCUCUCCCUUUUCCUAUCAUCUCCUUUGUGCUUUGUCUGACCUCCAUGUUACAGAGCCCCAUGAUAUUUAGAGCCAGUACUGCUAGGGAAGUAGUUCAGUUGUGUUUUAAAUGGUUCAGCAACUUGUAACAUCAACUGAGAACCAGAGGAAUACACUUGGAGGCCAAGAAAAAAAUGUUAGCUAAUAUGUACCAUACAGUAUGAUUCCUUGGGUAAGGGAAAGUAUAUGCAAGUGACAGAGGAAAAUUGAAAGUUGUAGCCCUUUUUUGGACUUUAGAUUUGGAAUUAAAGUUUCUCUUCUCUUGAAAGACCUUCUUUUUGUGGAUAAUGAUGAAUCUGAAGACCAGAACAGUGGGCCAAUUUGCCUUAGUUGAGAGUGGCAAAUAAAUGAAGAACUGAAGAACGUAUCUCUUUAACUAGUGCUCCUUUGUUGAGAAGAUACAAAACAAACAAUUGAAGGGUAUGGAUGAAGCCAUUGGCUUAUUCAUGUCUCUGUUGAUCAUAAUGAGAUUAAUAUAUAUAGGACAUUCACACAAAGAGGAUAUUGACUCGAUGGCUUACAGAUUAUUAGAGUUAGAAAUGUGACCUACUACUAAAGGAAGAAUGUUUCAGGUGUGGAUCUCUGAUUUAAAAAAUACACCACACUUGCCUCAGUGAAGCAAGUCAACUUAGGUGCUGAUACAAUGCCACUGCAGCUGUGCUGAGUUCAUGAAAUCAGAUCCCACUCUCUUCACCUACCCCUACCGUAUUCAUCCUACUUUCCGUCUGCUCUGCCCUUCCCAUUUGGUAACCUAGUCAUGAAACACCUGGCUCUGGGUCCUUCCUUCAGCAUCACUCCACGUUGUACUGCUGGCAUCGCUUUUCUUGGCACAGAACCUCUUAGGGCUGCUAUCCUAGGAGUAGGUGCUACUCAGGCUGGCUUAGUCCCAGGCUUCACUCACUUCUUGGCCCAUGGCCAGGAGGACCGGAAAGAACAAACUCUCUGCACAUCUCUGCAGGUGGCCACAGAGCCCCCAUCUGAGCCUUGCUGAUGGAGAAGAGCAUGCUGCAUCACAAGAUAACUGUGUGGCUCUGUUCAAAAACCUUGUUUAGAAGUUAUUAUUUCUUUUAUUGCAUUAGAAUUUGCCUCACUGUAGCUUUUGUGCUUCUGUCCUGGUUCAGCCUUAGAUAGCAGUGCAGCCUGGUCCAUGUGAAAGCUCUUGCAAUAGGCCUUUCUGCUAGUCAGGAGUUCUCAGACCCAUCCCUACUCUUCACUUUUCUCAAGACUAAUAUCAGACUCCUGGGCUCUUCAAGGUUUCCUCAUAUGAUAAAAGUUCUAAGCCCUCCAUUGUCCUAGUCACUGUCCUCUCUGUUCCAUCCCUGUCUGCCCUUCCAAGAUGCUGCACCUGGAGAUGAAUUUGUCCUUCCUGGGGCAAGUCACCAUGAGAUGAUUACUUUUGGAUCAUACUGAAUUUGUGGGUUAAAUAAACUCAUAGGUCUUUAUCUCAUGCACUAAAUCCAAAUUCGAUCUCUUGCCGUAAAUCAUUUUUUUGAAUAGCUGAACAAUAAGUAAAUAAUACACAAAUGAAAACUAAUCAAUAUUUGAACAUCCUCAGUAUUUUCAGCCCUAGUUUGAGCCAGACAUAGCUCAUCUUGUAUACUUCACUAAGGACACUUUAUACGAUCAAGCAAUUAAUAUUAUGAUGUCAUGUCUCGCAAGCCCCAUAGUGUCACUUCCAGUCUCUUCACCACAAAGAACGUUGAAGCCUUCGUAUUUUUUUGAAAAUCAUAUUUCUAGCUGCAGGAUGGGAUGUAAGAAAAGUUCAGAUUAGGAUUAUUCUAGGCUCCUGACUAUAACUAAAAUCCUGAUUUUUUAUGGAAAGGAAUGAGGAUCAUUCCUUCAAAUUAGAUUUUUGUGAUAAAAAGAAAAAAGUUGGUAAUCUAUUCAAAAUUGUAACAAAAAUAACUGCAUUUUUCUUUGGAAAAUAAUAGUUGAUUCCUUUUUGCUUUUUUUACUUAUGAAUUGGGGUGCAAUAGAGUUUAAUAAAAAUGAUGUGAAACACUCUUAUAAGGCUAAUUUAUCACAUUUGCUUCAAGGAAUUGUCCUUUCUAACAAAAUUGUGAAAUGGAACUGAACAGUAGCAUGAUGAGGCCUCUACCAGGAGGAGGUACAGAACAAGGCAGGAGGUCAGUGGUUAAAGGACUCCUUGCUUAUGCUCAAGAAAUGUGGACCUUAUUAGAGGUGACACAGUGAAAUCAGUCACCUGAUUUCGCAGGUGACUGUGGAGCAAGAAUGCAAAUCCACAAUAUUAGGAUGAAUGUGAGAGGAGAAGGGAAGGAGGCCAUGAGGGAAAAAAGGACAUCUAAUUGGGUCUGAAAGGAAGGGUAGAAUUUAAGUAAAGAGCACUGUGUACAUAUGGGAAUACCAUGUACUUUCUCAUGGAGAGAGGCCUUCUGACAGUCCUGCAUUGAUCCUGCUUCUUUGACCAUCCCUUGUUAGCCAGCAGGUCAUUUGGCCUCACUAGUUGCCUCAGUGCUGAGUGAUAGACUCAGCAGUCCCCAGCCUCUUUGGCACCAGGGACUGGUUUUGUGGAAGAUAAUUUUUCCAUGGAUCAGGGAGAGGAUGGUUUCAGGAGGAUUUAAGUGCAUUACAUUUACUGCGCACUUUAUUUCUAAUAUUAUUACAUUGUAAUCUAUAAUGAAAUAAUUAUACAAUUCACCAUAAUGUAGAAUCAGUGGGUGCCCUGAGCUUGUUUUCCUGCAACUAGAUGGUCCCAUCUGGGGGUGAUGGGAGACAGUGACAGAUCAUCAGGCAUUAGAUUCUCAUAAGGAAUGCACAACCUAGAUUCUUCACAUGUGCAGUUCACCAUGAGGUUCACGCUCCUAUGAGAAGCUAAUGCCUCCGCUUAAACGACACAGGAGAUGGAGCUCAGGUAGUAAUGAGUGAAAUGGGGAGCAGCUGUCAAUACAGAUGAAGCUUUGCUUGCUUGCUUGCCGCUCACCACCUGCUGUGCAGCCUGGUUCCUAACUGGUACUGGUCAGUGGCCUGUGGUUGGGAACUCCUGGUAGACUAACAACAGAACAAAGCCAAGUCUCAAGGAGAGACAGUUGUAUAGAUGCCUUCCUGCCCAUUCUCUGUUGUGGGGGCCAAAUCACACAAGACCUGCAUUUAAUUCUUUAUGGGCUUAGGCUGUGAAUUAAUGUAAAAUCUCAAGAAACCAAGAUGACAGGCCAGGGACUAAAGAGCAAAAGAAAGACCACAGCUAUGGUGGGCGAGGAGACAAAGUCAAUCCCACCGGGACAGAUGGUGAUGACCCUUAUCAGUUCUAUUCUGUCAUCUCAUAAAGGUAAAGACUUGUGUUCUUUUUCUUAGGACAGUCCAGAUGGUAUUGGCUGUGCUUAAAGAAAAUUCAGACAUGUGUGAGUGUGGCUGGAAUUGACAUUCAUGAGGUCUUCCGUUUUUAUUUGAAAGGGGCAGAGUAAGUAUUUGUGAACAUUGGAUGGUGAUGAAGAAAAGGAAAUGGUGUCUAGUAUCCUACCUGGCCUCAUGGACCAAGACUAGAAGGAUUAGAGGCAAAGUCGAAGGAAGCUGCCACCAUAAAGGGUUCUGUGAAUGCUGUUUGGCUGAAAUGUGUGACAAAGCACUGGGAAGGGUUUCAUUGCAUUAGCUCAGGCCAUAGCACGACCCUUAACCAACACCUUAAGGUGAUGGUCCCCUUGGCAUAAAUAUUGGUGUUAAAAUCGAGGUUAACCUUAGUGAUAGUAUGGUUAAGAGUCCCCUGCAUGACUUUGGAAGUUGAAGAUGCUGAUCAGGAGAACUAGAGCAGGAAAGAGAAAAUAUGACUGAGGCUAAGUGGUGACUUGGUAUUGACUGAUAGGUGAACACAGGAAUGAAUUUCAGCGAGAACCCCCAGUAACUGUCUGGGGAGUGGAGACUGUGUAUGAACAGGACAGAAAAAAAAGCAGAUUCGGGUAGUGUCCUGUCGUGUGUCUCUUUUACAGUCCUGAAAUGAAGGACUUUCAGUGUUUUCAUUGAGCACCAAUCAAUUCCCUCUUUACAAAAGACCAUAUUGGAACAGCAUCAAGGUUUAGGGAUAUUAAAGCAAUACAGUGACACUGGAAUGACCACUGAGAACCAGCGAACUUCUUCAGCCCUUAUAUCCUCAGGCACUCUGGAAGCCAUGAAUCUGGUUUUCUUGCUAAACUGUGUGUACUGCACAGAGUACAAUGGUAAAGGAACAAAUAUUGGCUCUAAAAUCUCUUGUAAAGGGAAGGGUGGUCAUCCCUUUAGAUGGCAAAUUGAGUUUCUGUAAUGGGGUUUGCUCUGAUGUUGCAUUUCCACUCAGGCAUCAAGACAUUCUGUUGUUUAAAGCCCUAGAUGGGUGAUAUUUCUUUCAUGUGCAAGGCCCGAAUGCUUCACUGAGCUCUCUCUUACCCACACACACUCAUUUAAACCUUGGUCAAAAUUAUCCUUUAGCAUCUGCAUCUUCUCAGAAGGCGGAAGGGUCAAUGGGGAUAAUCAGGAGAGAUGAGGUGCACUUUCAGAAGUUGGAGCUGAGAAGGUGAUGGAAGUAUCUGUAAAGUCGUUGAACAGCUGCACGAACUAUAGGGGAAGCAUUUCUGGAGGCAAAAGGGGAAUAGCCCUUUCCUCUUAAACCAAAGCGAGCACAGCUCCAAAGGCACUUAGAUGGAGAGUUCAUCGGAAUGUGAGCUCUAAGAGUGGCUGAGAAUCUGACAAAAACAGCCAUCUGCCAACCCAAAAUUAAAACUCCUCUGUUUAGCACCCAGUAGAGAAAGUCAACCAGAUUGACUUCGCAAACAAAGGACCUUAAAAGCAUCACCUAAGAAAGUGUGUCAGGAUCCACAGACAUCCAGAGCAUUCUCUAUGGUUCAUUACUUACAUUAUUCUUAUCUAUUUACACAUAAUGUUUAGAUGUAAAAUCCUUACAAUGAAAAGGGUGUAUAUGCUUUAAAAAAGGCACAACAGGGAUCUAGAACUAGAAAUACCAUUUGACCCAGCCAUCCCAUUACUGGGUAUAUACCCAAAUGAGUAUAAAUCAUGCUGCUAUAAAG